Molecule: ribosomal RNA, 253 nt
Filed under: uncultured bacterium
Lineage: Bacteria
Description: partial 16S ribosomal RNA
Rfam family: Bacterial small subunit ribosomal RNA
Source: RNAcentral
UACGUAGGGUGCGAGCGUUAAUCGGAAUUACUGGGCGUAAAGCGUGCGCAGGCGGUUUUGUAAGCCAGAUGUGAAAUCCCCGGGCUCAACCUGGGAAUGGCAUUUGGGACUGCAAGGCUCGAGUUUGGCAGAGGGGACUGGAAUUCCUGGUGUAGCAGUGAAAUGCGUAGAUAUCAGGAGGAAUACCGAUGGCGAAGGCAGGUCUCUGGGCUGAAACUGACGCUCAUGCACGAAAGCGUGGGGAGCAAACAGG